GACGAACGCUGGCGGCGUGCUUAACACAUGCAAGUCGAACGGAAAGGCCCUGCUUGCAGGGUACUCGAGUGGCGAACGGGUGAGUAACACGUGGGUGAUCUGCCCUGCACUUCGGGAUAAGCCUGGGAAACUGGGUCUAAUACCGGAUAGGAGCCAUUUUUAGUGUGAUGGUUGGAAAGUUUUUUCGGUGUAGGAUGAGCUCGCGGCCUAUCAGCUUGUUGGUGGGGUAAUGGCCUACCAAGGCGGCGACGGGUAGCCGGCCUGGGAGGGUGGACGGCCACAUUGGGACUGAGAAACGGCCCAGACUCCUACGGGAGGCAGCAGUGGGGAAUAUUGCACAAUGGGCGCAAGCCUGAUGCGGCGACGCCGCGUGGGGGAUGACGGCCUUCGGGUUGUAAACUCCUUUCGCUAGGGACGAAGCUUUUUGUGACGGUACCUAGAUAAGAAGCACCGGCUAACUACGUG
RNAcentral lists this ribosomal RNA (465 nucleotides) under uncultured bacterium. Its description in RNAcentral is "partial 16S ribosomal RNA". It matches the Rfam family "Bacterial small subunit ribosomal RNA", at positions 28 to 507 of the family's 1533-position model. The record is from RNAcentral.